AACAUCGCGCACCUGCGGGAACCUGCGGAGGGAUCAUUACCGAGUGCGGGCCCUCUGGGUCCAACCUCCCACCCGUGUUUAUCGUACCUUGUUGCUUCGGCGGGCCCGCCACACCGGCCGCCGGGGGGCACCUGCCCCCGGGCCCGCGCCCGCCGAAGACACCCCUGAACGCUGUCUGAAGAAUGCAGUCUGAGCGAAUAGCUUUAAUUAGUUAAAACUUUUAACAAUGGAUCUCAGAUC
RNAcentral lists this unclassified non-coding RNA (240 nucleotides) under soil metagenome. Its description in RNAcentral is "partial contains 5.8S ribosomal RNA, internal transcribed spacer 2, and large subunit ribosomal RNA". The record is from RNAcentral.